RNAcentral lists this ribosomal RNA (492 nucleotides) under uncultured bacterium. RNAcentral's name for it is "bacterial SSU rRNA". It matches the Rfam family "Bacterial small subunit ribosomal RNA", at positions 903 to 1397 of the family's 1533-position model. The record is from RNAcentral.
AAAGGAAUAGACGGGGGCCCGCACAAGCAGCGGAGCAUGUGGUUUAAUUCGAAGCAACGCGAAGAACCUUACCAAGGCUUGACAUCAUUAUCGAUAUAUCUGAGAAGGUAUAGCCUUUCGGGGGAUAAUGACAGGUGGUGCAUGGUUGUCGUCAGCUCGUGUCGUGAGAUGUUGGGUUAAGUCCCGCAACGAGCGCAACCCUUGCAGUCAGUUACCAUCAUUAAGUUGGGGACUCUGACUGGACUGCCGUGGACAACACGGAGGAAGGCGGGGAUGACGUCAAAUCAUCAUGCCCCUUAUGUCUUGGGCUACACACGUGCUACAAUGGCCGCAACAAAGAGGUACGAACCCGCAAGGGGGAGUGAAUCACAAAAAAGCGGUCUCAGUUCGGAUUGUGGGCUGCAACCCGCCCACAUGAAGUCGGAGUUGCUAGUAAUCGCGAAUCAGCAUGUCGCGGUGAAUGCGUUCCCGGGCCUUGUACACACCGCCCGU